This 246-nucleotide ribosomal RNA is filed under the name uncultured bacterium. RNAcentral's name for it is "partial 16S ribosomal RNA". It matches the Rfam family "Bacterial small subunit ribosomal RNA", at positions 531 to 776 of the family's 1533-position model. The record is from RNAcentral.
GGGGCAAGCGUUGUCCGGAAUCAUUGGGCGUAAAGAGCGUGUAGGCGGCCCGGUAAGUCCGCUGUGAAAGUCGAGGGCUCAACCCUCGAAUGCCGGCGGAUACUGUCGGGCUAGAGUCCGGAAGAGGCGAGUGGAAUUCCUGGUGUAGCGGUGAAAUGCGCAGAUAUCAGGAGGAACACCUACGGCGAAGGCAGCUCGCUGGGACGGUACUGACGCUGAGACGCGAAAGCGUGGGGAGCAAACAGG